GACGAACGCUGGCGGCGUGCUUAACACAUGCAAGUCGAGCGGUAAGGCCCUUUCGGGGGUACGACGAGCGGCGAACGGGUGAGUAACACGUGGGUGACCUGCCCUCAGCUCUGGGAUAAGCCUGGGAAACCGGGUCUAAUACCGGAUAUGACUCCAUGACGCAUGUUGUGGGGUGGAAAGCCUUGUGCGGCUGAGGAUGGGCCCGCGGCCUAUCAGCUUGUUGGUGGGGUGAUGGCCUACCAAGGCGACGACGGGUAGCCGGCCUGAGAGGGCGACCGGCCACACUGGGACUGAGACACGGCCCAGACUCCUACGGGAGGCAGCAGUGGGGAAUCUUGCGCAAUGGGCGAAAGCCUGACGCAGCGACGCCGCGUGAGGGA
Molecule: ribosomal RNA, 380 nt
Filed under: uncultured bacterium
Lineage: Bacteria
Description: bacterial SSU rRNA
Rfam family: Bacterial small subunit ribosomal RNA
Source: RNAcentral